RNAcentral lists this ribosomal RNA (468 nucleotides) under uncultured bacterium. RNAcentral's name for it is "partial 16S ribosomal RNA". It matches the Rfam family "Bacterial small subunit ribosomal RNA", at positions 28 to 507 of the family's 1533-position model. The record is from RNAcentral.
GACGAACGCUGGCGGCGUGCUUAACACAUGCAAGUCGAACGGAAAGGCCCUGCUUUUGUGGGGUGCUCGAGUGGCGAACGGGUGAGUAACACGUGAGUAACCUGCCCUUGACUUUGGGAUAACUUCAGGAAACUGGAGCUAAUACCGUAUAGGAGCCCCCGCUGCAUUGUGGGGGUUGGAAAGUUUGGGCGGGCGGGGAUGGACUGGCGGCUUAUCGGCUUGUUGGUGGGGUGGUGGCUUACCAAGGCUUUGGCGGAUAGCCGGCCUGAGAGGGUGACCGGGCACAUUGGGACUGCGAUAGGGACCAGACGCCAACGGGAGGCAGCGGUGGGGAAGAUUGCACAGUGGGCGGAAGCGUGAUGCAGAGACGCCGGGUGCGGGAAGACGUCCUGCGGGUUAUGAACCGCUGUCGGUUGUGACGAAGCGUGAGUGACGGUAAUGGGUAAAGAAGCACCGGCUAACUACGUG